ACGAAAAGUACUAAUCAAAUUAAAUAAAAAUAGGUGAAACAAAAGAAAUAAGCGAAGAAGAAAGCAAAUAGCGCUUCACGCUAAUUCCAAGUACCAACACAAAACAAAAUUCAAUGUUUGGUGAAGCAACUUGCUUAGUGGCGGACGGGUGAGUAACGCGUGAACAAUCUGCCCCGUACAAAGGGAUAGCCUCGGGAAACCGGGAUUAAAACCAUAUAACACUUAACUGCCGCAUGGUAGUGAAGUCAAAUCGAUUAAGAGGUAUGGGAUGAGUUCGCGUCUGAUUAGCUAGUUGGUGAGGUAAGGGCUCACCAAGGCGACGAUCAGUAGCCGGCCUGAGAGGGUGAACGGCCACACUGGAACUGAGACACGGUCCAGACUCCUACGGGAGGCAGCAGUGGGGAAUAUUGCACAAUGGAGGGAACUCUGAUGCAGCGACGCCGCGUGAGUGAAGAAAGGUCUUCGGAUCGUAAAACUCUGUCCUUGGUGAAGAAAAGGACGGUAGCCAAGGAGGAAGCCCCGGCUAACUACGUG
Molecule: ribosomal RNA, 534 nt
Filed under: uncultured bacterium
Lineage: Bacteria
Description: bacterial SSU rRNA
Rfam family: Bacterial small subunit ribosomal RNA
Source: RNAcentral